AUAAAGUCCUGGAAACAGGGAUUUGUUGUACUGGUAAUCAUUGCUUCAGCUCAGAAUGAAACACACCAUCAUUAUCUUACUGGCUUGUAUGCUGCUCUGCAUUGCCGUCUCUUGUUCAGCCGCUCUGCAGUGUUUCACCUGUAAAGAUCCGGCAGACACCCGCUGCUUAGAACAAACCCUGGAGACCUGCAGUGAUGGACAAGUGUGUUCCACAAACUCCAGCAGCUCUCUGCAAUCCUCCGCUAUUGAUAAUGACAGAGGACGCAUCCAUUUUAGCAUUUGGGACGUUGACAUUGAUAUCCGUUGGGGAAAAGACCGUACAGCAACCAACCCCAACGUUGUUUCAAACUCAAGUAAUAAUGAGAGGAUCGUGAAGGGAUGCAUGGAUGACCAUUUUUGUCAGUCAAGCCCCAAAAUGUCUUUGAAUAUCGGUUUCCAUCAAUUCACUUCUUCGUGCUGCAACUCAUCUGGCUGCAACAGUGACACUUUCUCUGACGACCCCCACAAUGGACUUGAGUGUUUUUCUUGCACUGAUCCAGAAGAUGAGGUUUGUAAUCAGGCUGUGAUCUGCCAGGGUGGUCAGGAUCACUGUCUUAAUGACACAGUGACAGCAAGUAAUGGUCGGUCUGUGACUCUUCGAGGAUGUGUCUCCAGGAGUAUCUGUGGUUCCGGUUCUGGUUCUGACUCUGGUUCUGUGUCCUGCUGUGAGGGAAGUCUCUGCAACAGAAACAGGGCUAUGAAUUCCGCUCAGCCUGUAGCACUUACAGUCCUCGCUCUGCUAGUUGGCAUAACAACCACCACACUUCUACAAUCAGUCGAUCAAUGAAUAUCUUGAUUGGGGUUUCUUGAGGAUUUUCAUAUUUUUCUCAUGAGGAUUAGUUACGUGGGCAUCUAUUUCUGGGGCUAUCACACUCUGUGUUGUCCAAAGUGUAACAACCUUGUCACUCCCUGACCCACUAGAGUACUGUGGGAUCUGUUGCUUGUUGCUCAUCAGAAGGCUGCUGAAUAUAACAAUUAUGACCAAAAAAAGACCACUUGAUUGAUGGUGUUGGACAGAAACUCUUCUGAAAUGAUUCAUUUCAUUUAUUAAACUUGGAGGUUGUGUUGAGUGAUGAAAUUAUAUUAUAUAAAUAUAUAUAUAAUAUAUUAUAUAUAUAAAUUAUGGGUAUUCUAACUUUCUUUUCUUUUAAUCUAGCCUGUUCGAUUACUGUAAAGCUCUUGGUGGUCUAAGCCGGGUUACUGUAAAGCUAUCGGUGGUCUAAGCCGGGUUACUGUAAAGCUCUUGGUUGUCUAAGCCGGGUUACUGUAAAGCUCUUGGUGGUCUAAGCCGGGUUACUGUAAAGCUCUUUGUGGUGUAGGCCAGGUUCCUGCAAAGCUCUUUGUGGUCUAGGCCAGGCUACUGUAAAGCUCUUUGUGGUGUAGGCCAGGUUCCUGCAAAGCUCUUUGUGGUCUAGGCCAGGCUACUGUAAAGCUCUUUGUGGUCUAGGCCAGGCUACUGUAAAGCUCUUUGUGGUCUAGGCCAGGCUACUGUAAAGCUCUUUGUGGUGUAGGCUAGGUUCCUGUAAAGCUCUUUGUGGUUUAGGCCAGGUUACUGUAAAGCUCUUUUUGGUCUAGGCCAGGUUACUGUAAAGCUCUUUGUGGUGUAGGCCAGGUUACUGUAAAGCUCUUUGUGGUGUAGGCCAGGUUACUGUAAAGCUCUUUGUGGUUUAGGCCAGGUUACUGUAAAGCUCUUUGUGGUGUAGGCCAGGUUCCUGUAAAGCUCUUUGUGACAACUGUUGAUGUAAAAGAGACUUACAUUUUAUUGAUUGAUGAAUUAACAAAUGUACAUCAACACUGGCAUUUAAUCAAACAUGUUAAUAAAUAAUAAUAAACAUUCAUACUACUUA
This is a long non-coding RNA of Oncorhynchus keta (chum salmon), 1886 nucleotides long. RefSeq lists it as uncharacterized. The transcript is spliced from 8 exons. Lineage: Eukaryota; Metazoa; Chordata; Actinopteri; Salmoniformes; Salmonidae. The record is from RefSeq and is a predicted model, not a curated record.